CUAAAGGAAAGUUCUGGAAUUUUAGCAUCUCCAAUCACUCAAAUUCUACAAGGUUUUGCUCUUCUGAUACGGUUCGGAUAGUGAAUUAGCCUUCCUUUUCUGAAGCAACAGAACAAUCAGUAGCAUCAUUGCUACGGGUUGGGCAUCCUAAAAUUUGGGAAUAAGAAAACAUCACAUUGUGCAUUAUAAAAGAUAUAUUUGAUCAGAUGUUAUAUAUAAAUAACAUAUUUAUCCCCUACUUAGUUAUUGCUGGAAUUCAGGCUCGAACGGGCAUGAUAUAUUAACCUUUAGCAUUAUGAGAGUGCAAAUACCUGGAAUUAGAUAUUUCUUUCAUGUGCCAUGCGUGUAAAUGAACACUACAUGCUCCAGGUCAGUCAAAAUCGGAGAAUGUGACUGCCUUGUUGCAUAAUCUGUUGGUAUCAGUGUAAAUUUAG
RNAcentral lists this long non-coding RNA (434 nucleotides) under Gossypium barbadense (sea-island cotton). RNAcentral describes it as "long non-coding RNA (GBAR_LNC002011)". The record is from RNAcentral. Lineage: Eukaryota; Viridiplantae; Streptophyta; Magnoliopsida; Malvales; Malvaceae.